CCCGUGAUAGCUCAGUUGGUAGAGCGGAGGACUGUAGUAUGAAAAUCUAGAAAUCCUUAGGUCGGCGGUUCGACUCCGUCUCGCGGGA
RNAcentral lists this transfer RNA (88 nucleotides) under Actinomycetes bacterium. RNAcentral's name for it is "tRNA-OTHER". It matches the Rfam family "tRNA". From Rfam's summary of the family: Transfer RNA (tRNA) molecules are approximately 80 nucleotides in length. Their secondary structure includes four short double-helical elements and three loops (D, anti-codon, and T loops). Lineage: Bacteria; Bacillati; Actinomycetota; Actinomycetes. The record is from RNAcentral. RNAcentral also lists the same sequence under 1 other name.